RNAcentral lists this ribosomal RNA (429 nucleotides) under uncultured rumen bacterium. Its description in RNAcentral is "bacterial SSU rRNA". It matches the Rfam family "Bacterial small subunit ribosomal RNA", at positions 354 to 776 of the family's 1533-position model. The record is from RNAcentral.
GUGGGGAAUCUUCCGCAAUGGGCGCAAGCCUGACGGAGCAACGCCGCGUGAGUGAAGAAGGUUUUCGGAUCGUAAAGCUCUGUUGUCAGGGACGAGAGACUUGAUCAGGAAAUGGGUCAAGGAGGACGGUACCUGACGAGAAAGCCACGGCUAACUACGUGCCAGCAGCCGCGGUAAUACGUAGGUGGCGAGCGUUGUCCGGAAUUAUUGGGCGUAAAGGGAGCGCAGGUGGGAUUGUAAGUCAGUCUUAAAAGUUCGGGGCUCAACCCCGUGAUGGGAUUGAAACUAUAAUUCUUGAGUGCAGGAGAGGAAAGCGGAAUUCCUAGUGUAGCGGUGAAAUGCGUAGAUAUUAGGAGGAACACCAGUGGCGAAGGCGGCUUUCUGGACUGUAACUGACACUGAGGCUCGAAAGCGUGGGGAGCGAACAGG